AGAGUUUGAUCCUGGCUCAGGACGAACGCUGGCGGCGUGCCUAAUACAUGCAAGUCGAACGAAACUUUCUUACACCGAAUGCUUGCAUUCACCGUAAGAAGUUGAGUGGCGGACGGGUGAGUAACACGUGGGUAACCUGCCUAAAAGAAGGGGAUAACACUUGGAAACAGGUGCUAAUACCGUAUAUCUCUAAGGAUCGCAUGAUCCUUAGAUGAAAGAUGGUUCUGCUAUCGCUUUUAGAUGGACCCGCGGCGUAUUAACUAGUUGGUGGGGUAACGGCCUACCAAGGUGAUGAUACGUAGCCGAACUGAGAGGUUGAUCGGCCACAUUGGGACUGAGACACGGCCCAAACUCCUACGGGAGGCAGCAGUAGGGAAUCUUCCACAAUGGACGCAAGUCUGAUGGAGCAACGCCGCGUGAGUGAAGAAGGUCUUCGGAUCGUAAAACUCUGUUGUUAGAGAAGAACACGAGUGAGAGUAACUGUUCAUUCGAUGACGGUAUCUAACCAGCAAGUCACGGCUAACUACGUGCCAGCAGCCGCGGUAAUACGUAGGUGGCAAGCGUUGUCCGG
Molecule: ribosomal RNA, 571 nt
Filed under: uncultured bacterium
Lineage: Bacteria
Description: bacterial SSU rRNA
Rfam family: Bacterial small subunit ribosomal RNA
Source: RNAcentral